AUGAACGCUGGCGGCGUGCCUAAUACAUGCAAGUCGAGCGAACAGACGAGGAGCUUGCUCCUCUGACGUUAGCGGCGGACGGGUGAGUAACACGUGGAUAACCUACCUAUAAGACUGGGAUAACUUCGGGAAACCGGAGCUAAUACCGGAUAAUAUAUUGAACCGCAUGGUUCAAUAGUGAAAGACGGUUUUGCUGUCACUUAUAGAUGGAUCCGCGCCGCAUUAGCUAGUUGGUAAGGUAACGGCUUACCAAGGCGACGAUGCGUAGCCGACCUGAGAGGGUGAUCGGCCACACUGGAACUGAGACACGGUCCAGACUCCUACGGGAGGCAGCAGUAGGGAAUCUUCCGCAAUGGGCGAAAGCCUGACGGAGCAACGCCGUGUGAGUGAUGAAGGUCUUCGGAUCGUAAAACUCUGUUAUUAGGGAAGAACAAAUGUGUAAGUAACUAUGCACGUCUUGACGGUACCUAAUCAGAAAGCCACGGCUAACUACGUG
This 496-nucleotide ribosomal RNA is filed under the name uncultured bacterium. RNAcentral's name for it is "partial 16S ribosomal RNA". It matches the Rfam family "Bacterial small subunit ribosomal RNA", at positions 29 to 507 of the family's 1533-position model. The record is from RNAcentral.